Long non-coding RNA from Emys orbicularis (European pond turtle), 490 nucleotides. RefSeq lists it as uncharacterized. Lineage: Eukaryota; Metazoa; Chordata; Testudines; Emydidae. The transcript is spliced from 2 exons. The record is from RefSeq and is a predicted model, not a curated record.
AGCUGGCUCAAGAUUGCUGGACCCAGGCCAUAAACUACAGCUUUGGUCUGAAAAGGAUUGGGCCCAGGCUAGGGAAGAAUCCUGUCUGUGAAGUAUGCUUAUUGGAAUAUCUUGGAGGAGGCAGCCUUGGCAUCCCAGUCAUCCUUGUUAUCACCGGCUGAACGGCUGCACAGACUCAGGAAGCGGCCUCGACAAAGUAAAGAGGACCUGCUGCAUAACUGAGAACAGAAAAAUGCAGGAGUGGUGUGACAGCAAGAUGAGGGAAUGGAAGGAGAACACAGAGCAGCUUCUAAACAUCAUGGAGUGGCAAGCAGACUCGAUUUAGGCACUCGUAGAACUGCACACGGAGCAGCUUCGUGCCUGCCCUCCCUGUAGCCUGUGUCCCAAAACUCUUUCCCUUGCACCCCAUGUCACCGCCAACACAGUAGCUCAUAAUCUUUCUAAUGGUAUGUUACAUGGGGCAUUUAGAAUAAAGCAUAUUUCAGUUAUG